This 645-nucleotide ribosomal RNA is filed under the name uncultured bacterium. Its description in RNAcentral is "bacterial SSU rRNA". It matches the Rfam family "Bacterial small subunit ribosomal RNA", at positions 202 to 842 of the family's 1533-position model. The record is from RNAcentral.
CAAAGGAAGCGAUUCCGGCAACGGAUGGGCACGCGUGACAUUAGCUAGUUGGCGGGGCAACGGCCCACCAAGGCGACGAUGUCUAGGGGUUCUGAGAGGAAGAUCCCCCACACUGGUACUGAGACACGGACCAGACUCCUACGGGAGGCAGCAGUGAGGAAUAUUGGUCAAUGGGCGCGAGCCUGAACCAGCCAAGUCGCGUGAGGGAUGACGGCCCUACGGGUUGUAAACCUCUUUUGUCGGGGAGCAAAUUCCGCCACGCGUGGCGGAGUCGAGAGUACCCGAAGAAAAAGCAUCGGCUAACUCCGUGCCAGCAGCCGCGGUAAUACGGAGGAUGCGAGCGUUAUCCGGAUUUAUUGGGUUUAAAGGGUGCGUAGGCGGACUGUCAAGUCAGCGGUAAAAUACGGGGGCUCAACCUCCGCCCGCCGUUGAAACUGACGGUCUUGAGUGGGCGAGAAGUAUGCGGAAUGCGUGGUGUAGCGGUGAAAUGCAUAGAUAUCACGCAGAACUCCGAUUGCGAAGGCAGCAUACCGGCGCCCAACUGACGCUGAAGCACGAAAGCGUGGGUAUCGAACAGGAUUAGAUACCCUGGUAGUCCACGCAGUAAACGAUGAAUACUAGCUGUCCGGGGCGAAUGGGCCCUGG